RNAcentral lists this unclassified non-coding RNA (1020 nucleotides) under Hevea brasiliensis (rubber tree). Lineage: Eukaryota; Viridiplantae; Streptophyta; Magnoliopsida; Malpighiales; Euphorbiaceae. The record is from RNAcentral.
CAAAUAAAGAUAAGGGCAAGGGAAGUCACCAUUUCCCUUGCGGAAGGAAAUUAAACUUUGUUUCAUUUCUUUUCACUUCUCAAUUCCAUCAAAACAAACAGACUUCUGGUAUGCGUAGAUAAAUUUUUGGAGUGAAUGAGAAAUUCUGCCAUAGUACUAUUUGUUCUAUGAUAAAUUUAAUAAUAAUUUAUAUAAAUAAAACUCCCUUAAACCAUGAUUGGGUAUAGUCUCAGCCAGAGAUCCAUAAAUAGGAUAAGGAGAUAAGCCUAUACGUGGCACAAGCCCACCUCCCCACUCCAGAGCUCCUCUGUCGAAGCUAUUCUCCCCUUCCCUCUGCCAACAAAGUCCAUGGCGUCACCGACACUCCUAAUCCCAACCUCCAAACCUACACCCCUCUCCACCACCAGAUCCAAAGCCGUCGUUGUCGCUACCAUCAGCCCUCCACGGCCAUCACAACAGCAGCACCAGAAACAACCUCUUCGCCGCCACUUCUUGGCCUUAGCCACUACUAUUCUCACUCCAGCAAUGUUAUCCCCAGUGGCUCCAGCUCAUGCUGCAUCUGAUGAAGAGUACGUGAAGGAGACCGAAGUAGUUAUCAACAAGGUCAGAACCGCCAUCAAGAUGGACAAAAACGAUCCUAACGUAGCUGAGGUAGCCGCUGACCUAAGAGAGACAUCCAAUUCUUGGGUGGCAAAGUAUAGAAGAGAGAAGGCUUUACUUGGCCGUGCUUCUUUUCGUGAUAUAUAUUCGGCACUGAAUGCUGUGUCUGGGCAUUAUAUUAGCUUUGGACCUACAGCUCCCAUUCCAGCAAAGCGGAAGGCGAGGAUUCUUGAAGAGAUGGACACAGCUGAGAAAGCUUUGUCGAGAGGCAGAUGAUUUUUCUUUGCAUAUUGUUAAUUUUAUCCAUUCGAAUUUUGCUUUGUUUUGAGUCUGAGUUUACAUAAUUAGGUUCAUUUUGAAUCAAAUUAACCGCAUGUGUAAAUUAUCACUCUUUCUGUUUCAGUAAUAAUUAAUUCCCUG